RNAcentral lists this small nucleolar RNA (131 nucleotides) under Danio rerio (zebrafish). RNAcentral's name for it is "Small nucleolar RNA SNORA30/SNORA37 family (ENSDARG00000100745.2)". Lineage: Eukaryota; Metazoa; Chordata; Actinopteri; Cypriniformes; Danionidae. The record is from RNAcentral.
UGAGCACUUUUAACAGGUCCUGGCUUUGUGCAGUAGGCCAGGAUUUGGUAGCUGGUGCUUAAAUUAAAACUCCCUAUAGCGAAAACCACAGGCUGAGUGUGCCAUGUUGGGCAUUAAUAGGGAGAACAUCU